CAGAAGAUAGUUUAAAUUAGAACUCCAGUUUUGGGGACUAGAGGUGAGAAGUAUCUUUCUUCUGA
RNAcentral lists this transfer RNA (65 nucleotides) under Varanus rudicollis (roughneck monitor). Its description in RNAcentral is "tRNA-Pro". Lineage: Eukaryota; Metazoa; Chordata; Lepidosauria; Squamata; Varanidae. The record is from RNAcentral.